This 291-nucleotide long non-coding RNA is filed under the name Capsicum annuum. RNAcentral describes it as "long non-coding RNA (CANN_LNC013014)". Lineage: Eukaryota; Viridiplantae; Streptophyta; Magnoliopsida; Solanales; Solanaceae. The record is from RNAcentral.
GUGCACGCAUUGGAAUUGACUUCUGCAACAGAAGCAGCCUUUCGAAAAUUACUCAUCACUUGAACAUUCUUCGAUGGCAACACAGCAUCAACAAGAUUGUUUUUGGCUUUGGUGCACGCACUGGAAUUGACUUCUGCAACAGAAGCAGCCUUUCGAAAAUUACUCAUCACUUGAACAUUCUUCGAUGGCAACACAACAUCAACAGCAUUGUUUUUUGGCUUUGGUGCACACACCGGACGGUGAGCAGUCUUGAGAGGGGGACAACGUUUUUUGUAGAACAGCACAGCUCCC